RNAcentral lists this ribosomal RNA (482 nucleotides) under uncultured bacterium. RNAcentral describes it as "partial 16S ribosomal RNA". It matches the Rfam family "Bacterial small subunit ribosomal RNA", at positions 30 to 507 of the family's 1533-position model. The record is from RNAcentral.
AUUGAACGCUGGCGGCAUGCUUUACACAUGCAAGUCGAACGGUAACAGGCCGCAAGGUGCUGACGAGUGGCGAACGGGUGAGUAAUGCAUCGGAACGUGCCCAGUCGUGGGGGAUAACUACUCAAAAGAGUAGCUAAUACCGCAUACGAUCUAUGGAUGAAAGCGGGGGACCGUAAGGCCUCGCGCGAUUGGAGCGGCCGAUGUCAGAUUAGGUAGUUGGUGGGGUAAAGGCUCACCAAGCCAACGAUCUGUAGCUGGUCUGAGAGGACAACCAGCCACACUGGGACUGAGACACGGCCCAGACUCCUACGGGAGGCAGCAGUGGGGAAUUUUGGACAAUGGGCGCAAGCCUGAUCCAGCAAUGCCGCGUGCAGGAAGAAGGCCUUCGGGUUGUAAACUGCUUUUGUACGGAACGAAACGACUCUGGUUAAUACCCGGGGCUAAUGACGGUACCGUAAGAAUAAGCACCGGCUAACUACGUG